UACGUAGGGGGCUAGCGUUGUCCGGAUUUAUUGGGCGUAAAGAGCGUGUAGGCGGCCAGGUAGGUCUGCUGUGAAAACUCGAGGCUCAACCUCGAGACGUCGGCGGAAACCAUCUGGCUAGAGUCCGGAAGAGGAGAGUGGAAUUCCUGGUGUAGCGGUGAAAUGCGCAGAUAUCAGGAUGAACACCCGUGGCGAAGGCGGCUCUCUGGGACGGUACUGACGCUGAGACGCGAAAGCGUGGGGAGCGAACAGG
Molecule: ribosomal RNA, 253 nt
Filed under: uncultured bacterium
Lineage: Bacteria
Description: partial 16S ribosomal RNA
Rfam family: Bacterial small subunit ribosomal RNA
Source: RNAcentral